UAGAAGCAGCCAUCAUUUAAAGAGUGCGUAAUAGCUCACUAGUCGAGUGACACUGCGCCGAAAAUGUACCGGGGCUAAACAUAUUACCGAAGCUGUGGAUUGUCCUUUGGACAAUGGUAGGAGAGCGUUCUAAGGGCGUUGAAGCAUGAUCGUAAGGACAUGUGGAGCGCUUAGAAGUGAGAAUGCCGGUGUGAGUAGCGAAAGACGGGUGAGAAUCCCGUCCACCGAUUGACUAAGGUUUCCAGAGGAAGGCUCGUCCGCUCUGGGUUAGUCGGGUCCUAAGCUGAGGCCGACAGGCGUAGGCGAUGGAUAACAGGUUGAUAUUCCUGUACCACCUAUAAUCGUUUUAAUCGAUGGGGGGACGCAGUAGGAUAGGCGAAGCGUGCGAUUGGAUUGCACGUCUAAGCAGUAAGGCUGAGUAUUAGGCAAAUCCGGUACUCAUUAAGGCUGAGCUGUGAUGGGGAGAAGACAUUGUGUCUUCGAGUCGUUGAUUUCACACUGCCGAGAAAAGCCUCUAGAUAGAAAAUAGGUGCCCGUACCGCAAACCGACACAGGUAGUCAAGAUGAGAAUUCUAAGGUGAGCGAGCGAACUCUCGUUAAGGAACUCGGCAAAAUGACCCCGUAACUUCGGGAGAAGGGGUGCUCUUUAGGGUUAACGCCCAGAAGAGCCGCAGUGAAUAGGCCCAAGCGACUGUUUAUCAAAAACACAGGUCUCUGCUAAACCGUAAGGUGAUGUAUAGGGGCUGACGCCUGCCCGGUGCUGGAAGGUUAAGAGGAGUGGUUAGCUUCUGCGAAGCUACGAAUCGAAGCCCCAGUAAACGGCGGCCGUAACUAUAACGGUCCUAAGGUAGCGAAAUUCCUUGUCGGGUAAGUUCCGACCCGCACGAAAGGCGUAACGAUUUGGGCACUGUCUCAACGAGAGACUCGGUGAAAUCAUAGUACCUGUGAAGAUGCAGGUUACCCGCGACAGGACGGAAAGACCCCGUGGAGCUUUACUGUAGCCUGAUAUUGAAAUUCGGCACAGCUUGUACAGGAUAGGUAGGAGCCUUUGAAACGUGAGCGCUAGCUUACGUGGAGGCGCUGGUGGGAUACUACCCUAGCUGUGUUGGCUUUCUAACCCGCACCACUUAUCGUGGUGGGAGACAGUGUCAGGCGGGCAGUUUGACUGGGGCGGUCGCCUCCUAAAAGGUAACGGAGGCGCUCAAAGGUUCCCUCAGAAUGGUUGGAAAUCAUUCAUAGAGUGUAAAGGCAUAAGGGAGCUUGACUGCGAGACCUACAAGUCGAGCAGGGUCGAAAGACGGACUUAGUGAUCCGGUGGUUCCGCAUGGAAGGGCCAUCGCUCAACGGAUAAAAGCUACCCCGGGGAUAACAGGCUUAUCUCCCCCAAGAGUUCACAUCGACGGGGAGGUUUGGCACCUCGAUGUCGGCUCAUCGCAUCCUGGGGCUGUAGUCGG
Molecule: ribosomal RNA, 1454 nt
Filed under: Staphylococcus aureus
Lineage: Bacteria; Bacillati; Bacillota; Bacilli; Caryophanales; Staphylococcaceae
Description: partial 23S ribosomal RNA
Rfam family: Bacterial large subunit ribosomal RNA
Source: RNAcentral